GUGAAGAACGCAGCGAAAUGCGAUAAGUAAUGUGAAUUGCAGAAUUCAGUGAAUCAUCGAAUCUUUGAACGCACAUUGCGCCCGCCAGUAUUCUGGCGGGCAUGCCUGUUCGAGCGUCAUUACAACCCUCAGGCCCCCGGGCCUGGCGUUGGGGAUCGGCGGAAGCCCCCUGCGGGCACAACGCCGUCCCCCAAAUACAGUGGCGGUCCCGCCGCAGCUUCCAUUGCGUAGUAGCUAACACCUCGCAACUGGAGAGCGGCGCGGCCACGCCGUAAAACACCCAACUUCUGAAUGUUGACCUCGAAUCAGGUAGGAAUACCCGCUGAACUUAAGCAUAUCAAUAAGCGGAGGA
This 352-nucleotide unclassified non-coding RNA is filed under the name soil metagenome. RNAcentral's name for it is "partial contains 5.8S ribosomal RNA, internal transcribed spacer 2, and large subunit ribosomal RNA". The stretch from base 2 to 119 matches the Rfam family "5.8S ribosomal RNA", at positions 37 to 154 of the family's 154-position model. The record is from RNAcentral.